Molecule: ribosomal RNA, 427 nt
Filed under: uncultured bacterium
Lineage: Bacteria
Description: partial 16S ribosomal RNA
Rfam family: Bacterial small subunit ribosomal RNA
Source: RNAcentral
UGGGGAAUAUUGGACAAUGGGCGAAAGCCUGAUCCAGCCAUGCCGCGUGUGUGAAGAAGGUCUUCGGAUUGUAAAGCACUUUAAGUUGGGAGGAAGGGCAUUAACCUAAUACGUUAGUGUUUUGACGUUACCGACAGAAUAAGCACCGGCUAACUCUGUGCCAGCAGCCGCGGUAAUACAGAGGGUGCAAGCGUUAAUCGGAAUUACUGGGCGUAAAGCGCGCGUAGGUGGUCUGUUAAGUUGGAUGUGAAAUCCCCGGGCUCAACCUGGGAACUGCAUUCAAAACUGACUGACUAGAGUAUGGUAGAGGGUGGUGGAAUUUCCUGUGUAGCGGUGAAAUGCGUAGAUAUAGGAAGGAACACCAGUGGCGAAGGCGACCACCUGGACUGAUACUGACACUGAGGUGCGAAAGCGUGGGGAGCAAACA